GAUGAACGCUGGCGGCGUGCUUAACACAUGCAAGUCGAACGGAAAGGCCCAAGCUUGCUUGGGUACUCGAGUGGCGAACGGGUGAGUAACACGUGGGUGAUCUGCCCUGCACUUCGGGAUAAGCCUGGGAAACUGGGUCUAAUACCGGAUAGGACCACAUUUUGGAUGGUGUGGUGGAAAGUUUUUCGGUGUGGGAUGAGCUCGCGGCCUAUCAGCUUGUUGGUGGGGUAAUGGCCUACCAAGGCGUCGACGGGUAGCCGGCCUGAGAGGGUGUACGGCCACAUUGGGACUGAGAUACGGGCCAGACUCCUACGGGAGGCAGCAGUGGGGAAUAUUGCACAAUGGGCGCGAGCCUGAUGCAGCGACGCCGCGUGGGGGAUGACGGCCUUCGGGUUGUAAACUCCUUUCGCUAGGGACGAAGCGUUUUUGUGACGGUACCUGGAGAAGAAGCACCGGCUAACUACGUG
RNAcentral lists this ribosomal RNA (467 nucleotides) under uncultured bacterium. RNAcentral describes it as "partial 16S ribosomal RNA". It matches the Rfam family "Bacterial small subunit ribosomal RNA", at positions 28 to 507 of the family's 1533-position model. The record is from RNAcentral.